This is a non-coding RNA of Myotis brandtii (Brandt's bat), 74 nucleotides long. The record is from Rfam. Lineage: Eukaryota; Metazoa; Chordata; Mammalia; Chiroptera; Vespertilionidae.
GCCAGUGUGGCUCAGUGGAUAGAGCAUCAACCUGCAGACUGAAGGGCCCUGGGUUCGAUUCCCGGUCAAGGGCA